This 258-nucleotide long non-coding RNA is filed under the name Helianthus annuus (common sunflower). Its description in RNAcentral is "sRNA HanXRQr2_Chr10g0444001". Lineage: Eukaryota; Viridiplantae; Streptophyta; Magnoliopsida; Asterales; Asteraceae. The record is from RNAcentral.
UUGGACCAGAAUGGUGUGAGGUAAACAUUCAAGUACCAAUAAAAAAAGAUGAAAACUUGGUAAGACCAUAUGGUUUAUUUUCUACAAUUCAAGAUUGUAUUGGUGCACCCAUCGCAUGGCCCUAUCCAUUCAUCUCGGUAGUCCAUGAGGAUUGAGGACGCAUGAUGACUCAAGAUUUUAUGCUUCUUAUUUCUUUAAUUGUUUUUAAUUUCUUUGUUAAAUGUUAAGACUUUAUGUUAGAUAAUGUUAUAACUUAUU